UACAGGGGGGGCAAGCGUUGUUCGGAAUUACUGGGCGUAAAGCGCACGUAGGCGGAUUGUUAAGUCAGGGGUGAAAUCCUGGAGCUCAACUCCAGAACUGCCUUUGAUACUGGCAAUCUAGAGUCCGGAAGAGGUGAGUGGAACUCCUAGUGUAGAGGUGGAAUUCGUAGAUAUUAGGAAGAACACCAGUGGCGAAGGCGGCUCACUGGUCCGGUACUGACGCUGAGGUGCGAAAGCGUGGGGAGCAAACAGG
This 253-nucleotide ribosomal RNA is filed under the name uncultured bacterium. Its description in RNAcentral is "partial 16S ribosomal RNA". It matches the Rfam family "Bacterial small subunit ribosomal RNA", at positions 524 to 776 of the family's 1533-position model. The record is from RNAcentral.